This 433-nucleotide ribosomal RNA is filed under the name uncultured bacterium. RNAcentral's name for it is "partial 16S ribosomal RNA". It matches the Rfam family "Bacterial small subunit ribosomal RNA", at positions 29 to 507 of the family's 1533-position model. The record is from RNAcentral.
AACGAACGCUGGCGGCAUGCCUAACACAUGCAAGUCGAACGAGACCUCCGGGUCUAGUUGCGCACGGGUGCGUAACGCGGGGGAACCUGCCCUUAGGUUCGGAAUAAUUCCCCUAAAGGGGUGCUAAUACCGGAUAAUGUCUUCUGAUCAAAGAUUCAUCGCCUUUGGAUGGGCCCGAGUUGGCUUAGCUUGUUGGUAGGGUAAAAGCCUAUCAAGGCGACGUUCCCUAGCUGGUCUGAGAGGAUGAUCAGCCACACUGGGACUGAGACACGGCCCAGAGUCCUACGCGAGGCAGCAGUGGGGAAUAUUGGACAAUGGGCGAAAGCCUGAUCCAGCAAUGCCGCGUGAGUGCUGAAGGCCUUAGGGUUGUGCAGCUCUUUUACACGGGGCGAUAAUGACAGUACCGGGAGAAUAAGCACCGGCUAACUCCGUG